Molecule: long non-coding RNA, 1190 nt
Filed under: Gallus gallus (chicken)
Lineage: Eukaryota; Metazoa; Chordata; Aves; Galliformes; Phasianidae
Source: RNAcentral
GCAGGUACUGUACAUACAAAAUCUAAAGAGACAGUUGUGCAACUCAUUACAUUUCUUUAUGUCAUCUACUUUGAUAAGUUACUCAUUUCAGUGGGUGUUCAUCACAUUUCAGAUAGCAGCAAUAAAUAGGCAUUUUACUUCUCAGAAAACGUUAUUUUAGAUAGCCACAUUAAUCAAUACAAAAUUAAUUUUUAACAGCACUGGAGUAACAUAACCCAUAAGUUAUUAAAGUUUGAUCAAAGAAUCUGAAAAUUUAAUAUUGGACCUCUUUGUGCCAACCUAAGACUGAGUGAUUUGCAGGGUCUCCAACAUGUCUUCCACUGCUUUCAGGGAGUAUUUAGUUUCUUUCUUACUGCGACCUGCAAACUGGUAGGCUCUAUUUAUUUGAUUCGCCGCCCAGCUGGCAUAUUUCAUAUUAUCUUUUUUCAUUUUUGCACUUGCUUUUGGAUUGGAGGCAAUAUGGCUUGCAGACAUGUAAAGCCCAAACAAAGCUCUCAUAUUUCUAUUGUUAAGUUUCAGUGCUUGUGCAAAAUAUUUUCUUGAUAGCUCGAGGUUUUCAAGCCCCCCUUGAGUAUAUUUAACUUCAGCAUAUUGCUGACAAUAUAAGUGGUUGUGUGGAUUAGCCAUCAUAAGCUCCUCUAAGCAGAAGGCUGCUUUUGCAUAGUCAUGUUCGUUGAUGUAAAGUUCUGCAAGUUCAUGCCAAGCUUCCUGGUCUCCAACAAAUUGUUCCAGAUACUCAUUCAGCUCUCGGAUGGCCUCAAGAUUUUUCCCCUGGGCUUUUCGAAUGGCAAUCUUACGCUUCCUUGCUGCUGUAUUGGUUGCAUCCUCCUGUAAAAUUCUAUCAUAUAAUUGGAUGGCAUCAUCGUACCUUUCCAUAGCUUCAAAUCUCAUUCCAGUUAAUCGCUUAACUCUAUGGCUCCCAGGAAACUGCCUCCUUAGUUCCUGAAGGCAAAACAGUGCCAAAUCAUCUCGACUGCAGUCCAGGGCAGCAAUCAUCACCUGUUCGUAUAUUAUCCAAAUGUCAUCUCCAAGCUUAGACGCAUAUUCAUUAAUUAACUCUUCUCCAACAUCCACUAUCUGCUCACUGUUUCGGUAGUUUUCUUCCCUCCAUUUCCUCAUUUUAUCACGCAUAUCUUCCCAGGUCACGUCGUACAUCUCCGAGACCUUCGCCAUCUUGGCGGCCGCCCGCG